AAUUGAAGUUUGGUUAUAUACAAAGAACAACUGUGGAAAAAACUGUAAAUCAUUACUUUGAGUUUUAUUUAAAAUAAUUAAAAAAUAAUUGAAUACUGAAAUGAAUCGCAUUUGGCUUAAAUGGCAAAAUUUUCUUAUGGUAAAACGAAUUACAAUGAUUUGUUAAAUAGAAGAAAAUUUACUGAGAUACAGACCAUCGUGUGACGCCUUAUCCAGACCGGCCGAGACCAGGAGAAACGAAAGAAGGACAACUUGGAGGAGACACACGGCGGACCCGGAAUCCAAGUCAUCAAAGGAGGGAACGGCGAAAAGAAGAUGACAAGAAUUUGAAACGAGAAAGGCUGGAACAAAAAUGUGAUAUCAUGGGAAAUAAAUACAAUUAAAUCAUAAUAAUAUAUAUAUUGGAAAAAAUCUGGAAAACAAAAAAAUAAAACCCACGAUGCUCAGAAGGGCUUAUUUUCUUGAAGACCAUGUAAUCGUGAAUCGAGUCGUCCCAAGUAUUUAGUGUUCUGUGUUUUUUGUUUAUUUUUUUUUGUAUAUUUAAUAUUUUUAAUUUGUUUUUUGAUUUAUAAGUAAAAUAAAUAUUGUUUAAUUAUAUUUCAUAAA
Molecule: non-coding RNA, 606 nt
Organism: Drosophila melanogaster (fruit fly)
Lineage: Eukaryota; Metazoa; Arthropoda; Insecta; Diptera; Drosophilidae
Source: Ensembl